CGGAGGGUGCAAGCGUUAUCCGGAUUCACUGGGUUUAAAGGGUGCGUAGGUGGAUUAGUAAGUCAGUGGUGAAAUCUCUGGGCUUAACUCAGAAACUGCCAUUGAUACUAUUAAUCUUGAAUACCGUGGAGGUCAGCGGAAUAUGUCAUGUAGCGGUGAAAUGCUUAGAUAUGACAUAGAACACCAAUUGCGAAGGCAGCUGGCUACACGAAUAUUGACACUGAGGCACGAAAGCGUGAGGAUCAAACAGGAUUAGAUACCCUGGUAGUUCACGCCCUAAACGAUGGAUACUCGACAUUUGCGAUAAACUGCAAGUGUCUGAGCGAAAGCAUUAAGUAUCCCACUGGGAAGUACGAUCGCAAGAUUG
This 367-nucleotide ribosomal RNA is filed under the name uncultured organism. RNAcentral's name for it is "bacterial SSU rRNA". It matches the Rfam family "Bacterial small subunit ribosomal RNA", at positions 526 to 896 of the family's 1533-position model. The record is from RNAcentral.